This 517-nucleotide ribosomal RNA is filed under the name bacterium PH-EB020. RNAcentral's name for it is "bacterial SSU rRNA". It matches the Rfam family "Bacterial small subunit ribosomal RNA", at positions 989 to 1504 of the family's 1533-position model. The record is from RNAcentral.
CAAUGACCGCUUGAGAGAUCAAGUUUUCCCUUCGGGGACAAUGGUGACAGGUGGUGCAUGGUUGUCGUCAGCUCGUGUCGUGAGAUGUUGGGUUAAGUCCCGCAACGAGCGCAACCCCUAUCCUUAGUUGCCAGCAUUGAGUUGGGCACUCUAGGGAGACUGCCGGUGACAAACCGGAGGAAGGUGGGGAUGACGUCAAAUCAUCAUGCCCCUUAUGAGUUGGGCUACACACGUGCUACAAUGGACGGUACAAAGGGCAGCGAGACCGCGAGGUGGAGCCAAUCCCAUAAAGCCGUUCCCAGUUCGGAUUGCAGGCUGCAACUCGCCUGCAUGAAGUCGGAAUCGCUAGUAAUCGCAGGUCAGCAUACUGCGGUGAAUACGUUCCCGGGUCUUGUACACACCGCCCGUCACACCACGAGAGUUUGCAACACCCGAAGCCGGUGAGGUAACCGCAAGGAGCCAGCCGUCGAAGGUGGGGUAGAUGAUUGGGGUGAAGUCGUAAAGGGGUAAAGCCGUA